CUUAACAUUUUAUCUGUCUCACUCGUUUCUCUCUGUUAUCAUCUCAUCAGCUGUUACAGGUCAGAGUAUGGAGUCCAUUCCUUCCAGUCCUGUAGUGAAAAGGCCUGGGGAGACUCCCAGUCUCUCCUGUAGAGGAUCUUGUUUCACAUUUUCGCUGCUGUUCUAUGGAUGGUAUAAGACAGCAACCAGGAAAAGAGCCGGAAUGGAUAGGAGAAGGCUUUUUUAACUUCCAGCAGAAACAGAUAUGUGAGCUGUUUGAGUGGACAUAUAGAAUUACCAAAGACAACAGCAACAGUGUAAAGUGUGAACAACUGACACAGCCAGGCUCUGUGACUGUGCAUCCAGGGGCUCGUCUGACCAUCACCUGUCAGGCGUCUUAUUCUCUUAGCAGCGCUCGAACAUUUUGGAUCAGACAACCUGCAGGAAAAGAACUGGAGUGCAUUGGUAGUGUACAUAUUGGACACAGCACAUGGUACAAAGACUCACUAAAGAACAAGUUUAGUAUCGACAUAGACUCUUCCAACAGGAUCGUGACUCUGAUUGGACAGAAUGUGCAGCCUGAAGACUCUGCUGUGUAUUACUGUGCCAGAGAACCACCCACAGUAACACAAAGCAUCAUGAGACCUGAACAAAAACCCCUCAGUGACUGAACACAUGAAGCCACAAGAGGAUGAGCCCUCAGACCACCAAUGAUUUCAGGUCAGCACAAUAAGAAGAAAUAAAAUGUCACUUAAAA
Molecule: non-coding RNA, 736 nt
Organism: Oreochromis aureus
Lineage: Eukaryota; Metazoa; Chordata; Actinopteri; Cichliformes; Cichlidae
Source: the annotation of a RefSeq genome assembly